CAAUCUUCUCAGUUAAUAUCUUUCGGGUUCUCUCCAAAGCCUUUUCUUCAUCAUAGAUGAAUUUAGGGAGUUUUCUCAUAAGAUCUUUUCGGUCAGUACCAGCUAAUGCCUUGCUAAUCUGAGGUGCGUAUACGCAUCCAAGUGCACCAACUAUAAGUCCUCCCAAAACAAAGCCACCGACAAAAAUACCAGCGCCGCUUGACCUUCCACCAUCACUAUUUGCAGCCUUAACUGUGAGUGCCCUUUUGGAGGUAGUGAGUUGCACUUUUCCUGGACAAUUCAAACUGAAUGACAACUUGGUGGGCACAGAAUUUUGGAGACAUUUUUCCAGUGGUCCAGGUGAGAGAUGAAGCUCAGGAUUUCUCGUUAGGACCAAAGAAUUUGAGAUAGCUGUCAUUUGUUAUCGCCGGUAGACAGUGCGGUGUGUAGUAGGAAAAUUAGAGGGUCAGUCGAAGGAACUAUAAAUUAAUAGGUGAAGGAUCGAUGG
This 487-nucleotide unclassified non-coding RNA is filed under the name Hevea brasiliensis (rubber tree). Lineage: Eukaryota; Viridiplantae; Streptophyta; Magnoliopsida; Malpighiales; Euphorbiaceae. The record is from RNAcentral.